This 302-nucleotide unclassified non-coding RNA is filed under the name Hevea brasiliensis (rubber tree). The record is from RNAcentral. Lineage: Eukaryota; Viridiplantae; Streptophyta; Magnoliopsida; Malpighiales; Euphorbiaceae.
CCGGGACAAUGGGUGGGGCUUGCGGGUAUGGAGACCUGUACAGCCAAGGGUACGGGACUAACACUGCAGCCCUGAGCACAGCCUUGUUCAACAACGGGCUGAGCUGCGGAGCUUGCUUCCAGCUCGUGUGUGUGAAUGACCGGCAGUGGUGUCUGCGGAACUCCAUUGUAGUGACCGCAACUAAUUUCUGCCCGCCAGGGGGCUGGUGCGACCCUCCCAAUCACCACUUCGACCUCGCCCAGCCUGUUUUCCAGCAGAUUGCUCAGUACAGAGCUGGGAUUGUGCCUGUUGCUUACAGAAGG